CACAGCUAUAGUCAGCUUGAAGCUGGGUAGCUCAUUUGAACCCACUAUAAAAGAAAAGAUUGUUUUCUCAUCCUAUUAAAACUCAGUUAGCAACGGCCGUGUAGGCGGCAGGAGAUCAGAAAUGAACAUCCAACUUGGAGUUUGUACAACUGGGGUCAGGUCCAAAGCAAACUGCCUGAUUAGUGAAACAAUUUGUAUUUUACAAUGACAGCAAAUAGGUAAAUCUUGUGAGCAUCAGGAAAUCCUGGAGGAUUUUGAAUGGGAGCACUGGCUGGUUUGCAAGCUGCACUUUGAUUAGAAGGCGUCAUUGCCGCUGCUUUUUUUGUACUCAUAUUGCAGGGACAUAAACAAGAGGGACUCGAUUUGCUAAGGGUAUUUAUUUCUCUGUCUCUGUCUCUCUCACUUGUUUUUACAAUCUACAUGUAAUGACUAAUUGGCUGUGUUUUCCCAGCUAUUUUAUGUUUCUCUUGCCCUUGUUACAAGUCGUACUAAGCCAGUAUAUCCGUGGGGACCUAUAGACAGCCAACAUUGCCAAAUGAUAUGCAGCAUUCCCCUUUCUCUCUAAGUGUAAAACAUUUACAAGUAAAUUUACAAAUGCAUUAAGAACAUUUCCCCCGUUGGCUGUUAGUGUUUAUUUCUUCCCCUUCUCCUCCUGGGAGUGGACACCUUUCAGCCCCUCACCUUUCACACACUGCUCUCCUGUUAUUUGCCUCCAUCCCUCCCCGUCGCCCCAUUCCCUUCUCCUCCUCCUUCUCCUUUUCCAGUUCAGCAGCGCAGAUUUCUGUUUGUGCCAGUGGGGCGGCCUGGCGAGACCGCAAUUGCUCUACCCCACAGAUUGACGAGCCCUCAGAUGCCGAUUUACUGUACAUGGCAGCCACGCUGGAGCCGAGGCACAUCUGGAGUGGAGUAAGCUUACUCAGAAACAGGGGCCAGCUCCAGCCGGAGCCAGCAGAGCUGAGCACGGCGCUGAAAGGCAGCCCUCCUGCCUCCCCUUCCCUCCUCCCCGGCACAUAUUUGAAAUUGAUUCAGCUCCUUGUCUUGCACUAAUGCCAAAAGUCCCUUAAGUCUCAAAAUAAAAUCUUCUUGGUAGAUGACUACGCAUCCUACUGGUUAUGCUAUUAUGAUUAUAUCAAUAGCAUGUUCUCCAACUUAAGCAGUGUGCAGGUGCAAAACUCUCAUUCAACAGUACAUAACUCUUUCAUCUGCCAUUUCUUGCCAGUAGAUUUCCUGCACAUAUGAAUGUUUCUUGUGAAAUUUCUGAAGAAUAACUGCUGGGCUUUUGCCAGUUGUAAGAAAACAAAUACACAAACAAUCCUCCUUCCAAAAUUCAACAGCUACCCCCUUCCCCAAUCCUCUCUUUUAGAAAAUACUACUACAUAGUAGAUGUUCUACAUCUAACCAAAAAAAAAAGUUUGUGAAAAAAUAUGUAGUACUGUGGAUUAAUGUAGCAAAGGUAAAAGUAAAAAAUUUACUAGAGCUGAGUGGUGCCAAUAAUGUCAUCAGAGCCUGCCUGUCUGUUAGUAUGUUCCUUUGGCUCACAUGGGUGCCUCAAUUUAAAUAUGUGCACACGCCUAUCCUUACUCAGUUACUCACUCUCUGACACUUCUUUUGAAUCCCAUCCCAUUAUAUUAGAUUUAAAAGAGAUUGGCUAUGGCAAAUAAUAAUAAAAUUUCAAAGAAGCCUUAACUCAGUGUUUUUUUUUUUAAGUAAAUGCAGCUUUAGGACCUAUGUGCAUGCUCAAGCAGAAGUGAAACCUAUAGAAUUUGCAUUCGCAAACUGUGUUUAUUCCAGUAGGCUCUGUUCUCUGUGACCAUCACCCAGAAACAAGGACCGAAGAGCAUUUGGGAGUCGGAGGAGAGUUAAGGGUUUGAAAAGUGUAUCAGUAGGUGUUAGUCUGCAAAAACAUAUGUGUGUGGGAAAAGGGCAGUUAAACUAACCCAGCUAUUAAUACUGUACUUUAAAGGGCAGUAGAUCUCUUUAACAUCUAAAUAAACUGAGAAAUCUGCCUAGAAGUAAAAAAGAAAUUUCCAGUUUCAAGUGUGUUAUUUCCUCUCAAUGUGAUUAUUUACAGUAUAUCUGUUCCAUGUUUUUUUUCAGAAUAUGUUAUUGACAUUUGAAUGGUAUUUCAGCAGAAGAUUGUGACAGAUGUGAAACAGUCAAACACCAGCAUUUGCAGUAUUUUUGACCCCAGGAUAAACUGUUGUACUUUAAAAAAAUUAUCCUGUUGUACUUCCUUUGCCUGCUUUCAGUGUUUUGUUUUGCUAAAGCAAUAAAAGAGUCAUUCAACUGGA
Pezoporus occidentalis (night parrot) is the source of this 2291-nucleotide long non-coding RNA. RefSeq lists it as uncharacterized. The transcript is spliced from 2 exons. The record is from RefSeq and is a predicted model, not a curated record. NCBI's taxonomy places the organism in Eukaryota, Metazoa, Chordata, Aves, Psittaciformes, Psittacidae.